GCGGGUGUGGUGGAAUUGGUAGACACGCUAGACUUAGGAUCUAGUGCCGCAAGGUGUGAGAGUUCGAGUCUCUUUGCCCGUACAA
RNAcentral lists this transfer RNA (85 nucleotides) under Tenacibaculum sp. Bg11-29. RNAcentral's name for it is "tRNA-Leu". It matches the Rfam family "tRNA". From Rfam's summary of the family: Transfer RNA (tRNA) molecules are approximately 80 nucleotides in length. Their secondary structure includes four short double-helical elements and three loops (D, anti-codon, and T loops). The record is from RNAcentral. Lineage: Bacteria; Pseudomonadati; Bacteroidota; Flavobacteriia; Flavobacteriales; Flavobacteriaceae.